Molecule: long non-coding RNA, 397 nt
Organism: Populus nigra (black poplar)
Lineage: Eukaryota; Viridiplantae; Streptophyta; Magnoliopsida; Malpighiales; Salicaceae
Exons: 2
Source: RefSeq, a predicted model, not a curated record
UCAAUUCUCUCAAAUCUCGUGGUUUCGAUCUUGAUUUCAAGCUUGCUGAUGACCCAAAACUCACCCUUCAACGUUAUGGCCAAUACUUAAUGAUGACUUAAUUCUCUUUUUUCCUUCAAUCGAAAGAUUUGGUGGUGCAUUGGAUUUAGCUCUAGCUACUGAAUGUGGGGUUGAUUUUGAUGAGGUUGGUGUAGAAUUUAUGAUGCAUUGAAUGUUUUUAUAAGAGUCUACCAUUGACGAUUUGGUUUGAAAAAAAAAGAAAGCAGGUCCAGGCUUGAAAGCUCGCUGGAAUGAGUUUAUAUAAAGCAGAGAAUAGAAUUAUUUUGUUUAUCGAGUUUACGUUAUAUUGUUGGAUCCAUUGCCUUGUUAUUGAUCAAUGAUCAUAAAAUUUAUUUUU